This 879-nucleotide ribosomal RNA is filed under the name uncultured bacterium. RNAcentral's name for it is "bacterial SSU rRNA". It matches the Rfam family "Bacterial small subunit ribosomal RNA", at positions 116 to 990 of the family's 1533-position model. The record is from RNAcentral.
CGUAGGAAGCUACCCGAUAGAGGGGGAUACCAGUUGGAGACGACUGUUAAUACCGCAUAAUGUCUACGGACCAAAGUGUGGGACCUUCGGGCCACAUGCUAUCGGAUGCGCCUACGUGGGAUUAGCUAGUUGGUGAGGUAAUGGCUCACCAAGGCGACGAUCUCUAGCUGGUUUGAGGGGAUGAUCAGCCACACUGGAACUGAGACACGGUCCAGACUCCUACGGGAGGCAGCAGUGGGGAAUAUUGGACAAUGGGCGCAAGCCUGAUCCAGCCAUGCCGCGUGUGUGAAGAAGGCCUUCGGGUUGUAAAGCACUUUCAGCGAGGAGGAAGAGUUGUGUGUUAAUAGUACACAGCUUUGACGUUACUCGCAGAAGAAGCACCGGCUAACUCUGUGCCAGCAGCCGCGGUAAUACAGAGGGUGCAAGCGUUAAUCGGAAUUACUGGGCGUAAAGCGCACGUAGGCGGUUUUUUAAGUCAGAUGUGAAAGCCCCGGGCUCAACCUGGGAAUUGCAUUUGAAACUGGAAAACUAGAGUGUGUGAGAGGGGGGUAGAAUUCCAAGUGUAGCGGUGAAAUGCGUAGAGAUUUGGAGGAAUACCAGUGGCGAAGGCGGCCCCCUGGCACAACACUGACGCUCAGGUGCGAAAGCGUGGGGAGCAAACAGGAUUAGAUACCCUGGUAGUCCACGCCGUAAACGAUGUCUACUAGCUGUUCGUGGUCUUGUACUGUGAGUAGCGCAGCUAACGCACUAAGUAGACCGCCUGGGGGAGUACGGUCGCAAGAUUAAAACUCAAAUGAAUUGACGGGGGCCCGCACAAGCGGUGGAGCAUGUGGUUUAAUUCGACGCAACGCGAAGAACCUUACCUACUCUUGACAUCUA